CCUACGGGAGGCUGCAGUGGGGAAUAUUGCACAAUGGGGGAAACCCUGAUGCAGCGACGCCGCGUGCGUGAAGACGUAUCUCGGUACUUUAAGCUCCAUCAGCAGGGAAGAAAAUGACGGUACCUGACUAAGAAGCCACGGCUAACUACGUGCCAGCAGCCGCGGUAAUACGGGGGGGGCAAGCGUUAUCCGGAUUUACUGGGUGUAAAGGGAGCGUAGGCGGCAGCACAAGUCUGGAGUGAAAUCCCUGGGCUUAACCCCGGAACUGCUGUGGAAACUGGGCGGCUGGAGUGCAGGAGGGGUAAGCGGAAUUCCUGGUGUAGCGGUGAAAUGCGUAGAUAUUAGGAAGAACACCGGUUGCGAAGGCGGCUUACUGGACUGUAACUGACGUUGAGGCUCGAAAGCGUGGGGAGCAAACAGGAUUAGAUACCCGAGUAGUC
This 440-nucleotide ribosomal RNA is filed under the name uncultured bacterium. RNAcentral's name for it is "partial 16S ribosomal RNA". It matches the Rfam family "Bacterial small subunit ribosomal RNA", at positions 338 to 795 of the family's 1533-position model. The record is from RNAcentral.